This 72-nucleotide transfer RNA is filed under the name Candidatus Roizmanbacteria bacterium RIFCSPHIGHO2_01_FULL_35_10. RNAcentral describes it as "tRNA-Arg". It matches the Rfam family "tRNA". From Rfam's summary of the family: Transfer RNA (tRNA) molecules are approximately 80 nucleotides in length. Their secondary structure includes four short double-helical elements and three loops (D, anti-codon, and T loops). Lineage: Bacteria; Candidatus Roizmaniibacteriota. The record is from RNAcentral. RNAcentral also lists the same sequence under 1 other name.
GAGGCCAUAGUUCAACGGAUAGAAUGGGGACCUUCUAAGUCUCGGAUGGCAGUUCGAUUCUGCCUGGCCUCA